RNAcentral lists this ribosomal RNA (502 nucleotides) under uncultured bacterium. RNAcentral describes it as "partial 16S ribosomal RNA". It matches the Rfam family "Bacterial small subunit ribosomal RNA", at positions 28 to 523 of the family's 1533-position model. The record is from RNAcentral.
GAUGAACGCUAGCGGCAGGCCUAACACAUGCAAGUCGAGGGGCAGCACAGAAACAGCAAUGUUUUGGUGGCGACCGGCGGACGGGUGCGUAACGCGUAUGCAACCUACUUUUAACAGGGGGAUAACGGAGAGAAAUUUCCACUAAUACCCCAUAACAUCGAUCAAGGCAUCUUGAUUGGUUGAAAACUCCGGUGGUUAAAGAUGGGCAUGCGUUGUAUUAGGUAGUUGGUGAGGUAAUGGCUCACCAAGCAUACGAUACAUAGGGGGACUGAGAGGUUAGCCCCCCACACUGGUAUUGAGAAACGGACCAGACUCCUACGGGAGGCAGCAGGAAGGAAUAUUGUGCUAUGGGGGCAAGCCUGACCCAGCCAUGCCGCGUGCAGGAAGACGGCUCUAUGAGUGGUAAACUGCUUUUAAACAGGGAUAAAGCACAGUAUGUAUACUGUGUUGAAGGUACUGUAAGAAGAAGGAUCGGCUAACUCCGUGCCAGCCGCCGCAGUAA